UGACCAAGGCCCAAUGUUUAAUUCUUAAGU
Molecule: non-coding RNA, 30 nt
Filed under: Mus musculus (house mouse)
Lineage: Eukaryota; Metazoa; Chordata; Mammalia; Rodentia; Muridae
Source: RNAcentral